GAAUGGAAACUCUCAGUGACUUCUGAGAUGACUUUGCAAACUCUGGCCAAACUGUUUCUGAAAAGAGUGUAUAAGGAUCCCAGUUUGAUUUGGAGUUUUCCCAGCAUGGUCUUAACUGCAGAGUACUUGAUUCUCUUGAAAUAGGCUGUGAGUUUCACACUCUGAGACUAAAUCCCAUCAGCAUCGUCUGGGUCCUGGGGAGAGACGUUGAUUUAAAAGUAGCUGAAAUAAAGCACAGAAACAAACUGUUUUUAUUGCUUUAAGCUGAGCCAGAAAUGACACCCUCACGUGUUCCCCUGGGAAAUGGGGGAUCCAGAACUCUCUGCAGUCAGGAAAUCAGGAAUGUGUGGAACUGCUGCGAAUCCCUCCCAAUUACUGAGGACUUUGUGAGCUGCAGACAAUCGAGCACGACAAACCAACAGAUCGCCUUUCUUCCAACUGGGUUGUCCUUUUGUUUCCAGAAAAUGGUGUGAAGUGUAAUUUUUUUUUUUUUUUUUUUUGCCACCUUGUUUAUUUAAGCGUGUUUGUCAAAACCUACCGCAGAACGGUUAUUCCAGCUUGAAGAAAUCCUUCCGGGUCAGAAAGCCCUUUGGAUGGCUUGGAUCCAACUGCUCUCCUUCCCAUUCCUCCCUUUUAAGUUCUGAGAUUCUGUCAAAGUCUGGGCUGAAUUCCUGAGGCCAGUUGGAGUGUAGCUGUUCUUUUGUUCCCCGUUGCCGACCACAGAAAGCGACAUUCACCAGUUUUUGUAGUCAAUGGCUUUAAAACCCCUAUGUCUCAUUGCUUCCUUUGAAUGACCAGAUGCAAAGCGGUGUAUUAAACCUAGGAAUGACUUUACAGA
Molecule: long non-coding RNA, 838 nt
Organism: Tympanuchus pallidicinctus (lesser prairie-chicken)
Lineage: Eukaryota; Metazoa; Chordata; Aves; Galliformes; Phasianidae
Exons: 4
Source: RefSeq, a predicted model, not a curated record